ACCAAGGAGAGUUUGAUUCUGGCUCAGGAUGAACGCUAGCGGCAGGCUUAACACAUGCAAGUCGAGGGGUAGAGUGGCUUCGGCCAUUUGAGACCGGCAAACGGGUGCGGAACACGUACACAACCUGCCUCUGUCUUGGGGAUAGCCCAUAGAAAUGUGGAUU
Molecule: non-coding RNA, 163 nt
Filed under: Beta vulgaris subsp. vulgaris (sugar beet)
Lineage: Eukaryota; Viridiplantae; Streptophyta; Magnoliopsida; Caryophyllales; Amaranthaceae
Description: Bacterial small subunit ribosomal RNA
Rfam family: Bacterial small subunit ribosomal RNA
Source: Rfam by way of RNAcentral